AUUAAACCCUCUGUGGCGUUUAUCAAACAGCUUAUUUGAUUUGACAAUGUGAGAUGAGGCAUCAUAAGAGGACUGGUAAACCAGCUUUUUUCACUGAUCAGACUGGCAUGCUCUCUGCCAGCUGGAGGUUGAGAGCUGUAGUUCCAACCACACAACUUUGUGAUGCUGUAUAUGAACAUUCAUUGGAACUAUAGAUUCGGAAACACCAAAUCUACGCUGGUAACAAUCGAACUUGGGACCAUAGUUGGUCCUAUCUGUGCUCCUGGAAAACACACCCCUCUUUUCAGCAAAUUUUGUCACAUUUCAUGUUUUACACAUAUGUAUUUGGAAUAAAAACAGUAACUUCAAAUAAUAUUAAUAAUGAACAAAUUGCAUUUACGCUAAAGAAUACAAAUGUUCUCACAUUUUAUGAUCUAUUGGGACAUUGAGCCAAUCACCUGAGCCAAAAAAUGUCAUGUGACCAGAUAAUGAUGCCAUUACCUUGCUGAUUGAUUAAUGGAACCACAAGAACACACAUCAAACUACGCUGGAUUUACUUCUGUUCCUUUCCUCAUUAGCAUCUGCCUCCUGGACUUGAUUAUUCAAAGACUUCUUCAGCAGACUUGUUUUUGGAGAAGCGGGAACUCUACGCACCAUGAGUCCAGUGCUGCUCUCCAGCGCUCUGUGUGCAACUGCAAUGCUGACAGAUGGCACUGCCCAGGAUGUUGGUUUCAUGCCAUGUCACAGUCUUUAGAGGGACGAAAGCCGUACUGUCUGUUCAAAGUGAACAAAGGCUUAACGACAAAAAACAUCACUGUAUUAACAAAGCUAAAGGGCUUAUCUGAACAAAACACACUUUUAGAGGUCUUAGAGAGGGGCACGCCGAGAGAAUCAGGUCUGUUACUUAAUGUUGUGUAUUACAUGUUACAUGCAUGGCUGUCAUGUGUGAAUGUCAUAUCUAACGUAGGCCCUUAUCUAACGCCUUUGAAUAACUAGCCAUCCAUAAUUAUAGCAACUGCGAUGACUAUUAAAAACCCUUUACUAGCAGAGAAAAUAAUGACCUUCCGUGUCGUUCAGUGCCUGUUCGUAUUGUAUUUUUUUCAAGG
This is a long non-coding RNA of Cyprinus carpio carpio, 1085 nucleotides long. Lineage: Eukaryota; Metazoa; Chordata; Actinopteri; Cypriniformes; Cyprinidae. The record is from Ensembl.